Long non-coding RNA from Pyrus x bretschneideri (Chinese white pear), 3321 nucleotides. RefSeq lists it as uncharacterized. The transcript is spliced from 4 exons. The record is from RefSeq and is a predicted model, not a curated record. NCBI's taxonomy places the organism in Eukaryota, Viridiplantae, Streptophyta, Magnoliopsida, Rosales, Rosaceae.
ACAGCAAAUUUCAGAGCCUCACAAUCACACCCUCUUUAUCUGAAAUUCUCUUAAAACAAAAAGCCAAUGCCUUUAUUAUAUUCGUCUCCAAUUCUUUUUUAUCCGCCAUCACCAACUGCUCCAACGACCAUGCGCCACUUCCCUCCUCAACGCCUCACCACGUGUCCUUCAUCCUCUCUACGGCGCCGUUUCGCCUCCGAACCAAACCCCCUUCCACUCCACUCCGCCGAGGUUUUCAGAAACCCGAAUUGGCAAUGCAAUGCAAGCCGUCCUCCUCCGCAUCAAUGUCGGCCGAGGAGCAGUCCGCUUCGACCUCCCAGUGGGGUGAUCAACUGCAUGGUGGUUUGUUGUAUUCAAGGGCGGUCUGUGUUAGUGAAUCGAUUAUUGCCUGGAAUGUGGAUGUUUGAAAUGGUCCUGCUACUUAUUUGCUAGUAAAGCCGCUGCUUUAUCUUGUUCGAGUGAUGGAAUUAUAGGUGAGGAUAUAUAAGUAAAGCUUGAAGAAGGUAAACACGGGCUUCCGGAAAAUGUAAGAUGUUAUGUUAUCUGUAGAAGCAGUUUCAUGGAGCCUCUUAUUGCUGCUUUUUCUUAAUGUGACUUCUGAAGAAGCUUUGAAACUUCUUCGAACUGGCACAUGUAUAAAAUGAUUUUUGUUAGGUGAAAGAAAAAUUUCCACAUAUCAAAGAUUACAGAGCUUUUAAUGUGUCCCCUGAUUUGGACGCCAAAAUUGUAAGAAUGGUUUUGCAUUUGUUCUUUGCUAUUCAGUUUUAUCAAUGCACUGCUAGAUAAACCGUUUUGUCUCCCUAGACUAAAUACAAUGAAUUCUGAUCAACUAACUUUUUGUUUUAAAAUUUCAAUCUGUAGCCUUACACAUUAGAGGAGUAUCGAGGUGUGCAUGCCAUUGAGAAUGCUGAAGUAGAUAAGAUCAUAAAACUCACCAAUUCUAACAAAUUAAGUUUUGAAGAUUCUUAGUUAUUGGUAAUUUAAUUGUUUUAUGGUAGUCGCCCGUUUGUGUUAAAAGUUAUUCGUGGACCAUUUAAAGUGAUUUAGCUAUAGUUGGCAUUGCUGUUUUACAUAAAUAUUAUCUACUAUCUUUCAGAUUGAAUAUGUAAUUAAACUCCCAUCAGAAUCCUGACUAAUUAUUUCCAGUGUCCUUUAAACAUACAUCAGAUAUUGUUUCGAUUUACGUUUAAAUUUUCUCUGAUCUUGGAUCAAUAUUUUUAUUUUCUUUGUUUUGGUGCUACUGCUACAUAAGCUUGGUAUUUCUUGAACACACAAUUUCUUUUUAUGACAGAACAUAGUCAUCACAGUGAGUGUGUUUUGUGAAAUCCUUGACCAGGUUGAGUGCCAGCUGUAAGGUGGGCUUAACAAGUCUGAGUAUCAGCAGUUUAUGAACUUUAGUCAAUCUGGAGUCUAAUUUUUAGAUGCUUACAUUUCGUUGAGGAUGUUAUUGCAUUGUUCAUGUUGAUGCUUUAAAGGUCAAAUGACGAUAAUUAACAUAGCAAAACGAUACGAUUGACAACUACAUUUGUUUUCAAGAUCAAUUAUGUUUCUGCGCAUGACAACAAAACUCUGUUUGACAUCGUGACUCUGAAGGUAUGUGUACUUCUGCAGUAUUUAUUGGACUUCAGACUGGUAACUUCUUGUCUAACUCAGUCCAUUCCUUGUAGACUCCUAUGGAAAUUUCUUUAGAGGAGAGAUUCAGGAUAAAUCACUUAGCUACAAGUAUAAUAGCACUCGGACAGGUCUUAACUUGUAUUUAAUGUUGAUGAAUGAAAAAUUCAUGUAUUUUUCUCUGUUCUUUGGAUAAUGUUUAUUUUACACUGUUGCAUUGACCAUACAUUAUCAAGUGUUUGUAGUAUACUAUAAACUAUAAAGUGACAAUUAUGAAAUGGCAGGCUGCUAGGAUUACUUUUAAUGUUUAUGAAUUCAUUUUUCUGUAGUUCAUUUCUGGGAUAUUGUAUGACCAAUCAGUAUUUAAAUGAUUCCCUAACUUUAGGGAAUACCAAUUUUCCACGCCUGCGAUAAGCUGCUUCGGUCAAAAUCACUUGAUCGUUACUCAUAGAGUUCUGGUGAUUGGUUCAAUAGGUCAAUUGCUAAUCUCAUUCCCAAGUUAGAGUCUUAGUUAUAGUUGUUACAUAAGAUUUCAAGAUUUUAGCUGAUCGCAUAUCGAACUGCUAGAAUAAAUGUAUGAUCUUCUGCAUUGUAAUGCUACUUCCGAGUUACAAGUUGAAUGCUUUCUGUGUUCCAAGAAUAAAUCCCACUCCUAUAGUCCUAUGUCAUCUUUUCUGAUUGAGUAAUCCAUGCCUGCUAUAACAUGUCUGUCUCUUUCUCAAAUAUAAUGUUUGGGGUGUUGGCCUUCCUCCAAAAGAGAAGAACGAGCACAGCUGGCUGCUGUAAGCACUCGUGUAUUUACACAAUCAUUUGAUCGUGUGUACUUCUUAGUGAUGUUGACAGGUGAUGCAGAAACCUCUGAUAAUGGUGUAUCUGGCAUCAGAAACUUUAUAACGACUGCUAUGACAUGUCAAGUGAUUAUAUUUUGGUUCUGUUUCUUUUUGUUUUUUUCUUUUUUUUUUCAGAAUGAAACCAAGGUUAGCAGAUCCAUCCUUUUAAGCCUCAGAAGUCGCAUCAUACUCGCUGCUGUGGAUAACUUUUCAAUUUGUUAGGUAUUACUACUAGGUACUCUUCACCACUUUUCCGUUUGAGGACGGCAAAUGUUAUUCAGGAACAGGUACGUUUCUAUAAUACUGGUCCUUCAUUUCUCCUUGGAGUCAUAGUAGUAUGCAUUGAAGAUGGUCAUGAAGGCGUGCCAGGGCUAUCUCAGCUGGAUGCAAUGUCGGUAGAAUAGCACCAGAGAUUUUCUGCAUAACAUCUCAAGCCUAAAAAAAGAUUCUGAAUGAUGAGAUCAUACCUCCUGAUUUAGUUGUUUAUUUUUAUGAGCUCAUAUCACUAGAAUUUGCUUUAAAGAAGGCCUCCUUGAUUUGUUUUCUUAUAGCUCUUUAAUAUGAACUUGUUGCAGGUAACGUCAACAGAUGAAAUUGUUAAGAGAUCUGCGUAUGAUGCUUCCUCAGGAUGCUUCACUGCGCCCCCAAGAACUACAUCUGUGUUUGUUAAACCUCGGGAAGUUUGAGUAGCUCUGCCGUAGACGUGGUGUUCGAAGGAUUUCAUAAGAGUCAAGUACCAUGGUUGACCAAAGCACCGUUUUUUUUUUCUUUCCUGCAGUUGAGGAGGGAGAGAGGCAAAACCUAACGGGUUUUCGAUGCACUCAUAUGUAUUACUAUGUUCAAUAAAAGUAAAGUUAAAUAAAAUUUUCCUGCUUUUUAA